RNAcentral lists this ribosomal RNA (690 nucleotides) under uncultured Acidobacteriota bacterium. RNAcentral describes it as "bacterial SSU rRNA". It matches the Rfam family "Bacterial small subunit ribosomal RNA", at positions 15 to 719 of the family's 1533-position model. Lineage: Bacteria; Pseudomonadati; Acidobacteriota. The record is from RNAcentral.
GAUCCUGGCUCAGAAUCAACGCUGGCGGCGUGCCUCAGACAUGCAAGUCGAACGAUUAAACUUUCCUUCGGGAAAGAUAUAAAGUGGCGCACGGGUGAGUAACACGUAGGUAAUGUACCUUUGGGUGGGGAAUAACUUAGGGAAACUUAAGCUAAUACCGCAUAAUGCAGCGGCUCCUUCGGGAGACAGUUGUUAAAGAUUUAUCGCCUAAAGAGCAGCCUGCGGCAGAUUAGCUAGUUGGUAAGGUAACGGCUUACCAAGGCUACGAUCUGUAUCCGACCUGAGAGGGUGGUCGGACACACUGACACUGAAUAACGGGUCAGACUCCUACGGGAGGCAGCAGUCGGGAAUUUUGGGCAAUGGGCGAAAGCCUGACCCAGCAACGCCGCGUGAAGGAUGAAGUCUUUCGGGAUGUAAACUUCGUAAGAAUAGGAAGAAUAAAUGACGGUACUAUUUGUAAGGUCCGGCUAACUACGUGCCAGCAGCCGCGGUAAUACGUAGGGACCAAGCGUUGUUCGGAUUUACUGGGCGUAAAGGGCGCGUAGGCGGCGUGACAAGUCAAUUGUGAAAUCUCCGGGCUUAACUCGGAACGGUCAAUUGAUACUGUUGUGCUAGAGUACAGAAGGGGCAAUCGGAAUUCUUGGUGUAGCGGUGAAAUGCGUAGAUAUCAAGAGGAACACCUGAGGUGAA